Molecule: ribosomal RNA, 338 nt
Filed under: Escherichia coli
Lineage: Bacteria; Pseudomonadati; Pseudomonadota; Gammaproteobacteria; Enterobacterales; Enterobacteriaceae
Description: bacterial LSU rRNA
Rfam family: Bacterial large subunit ribosomal RNA
Source: RNAcentral
UUUAGAACGUCGUGAGACAGUUCGGUCCCUAUCUGCCGUGGGCGCUGGAGAACUGAGGGGGGCUGCUCCUAGUACGAGAGGWCCGGAGUGGACGCAUCACUGGUGUUCGGGUUGUCAUGCCAAUGGCACUGCCCGGUAGCUAAAUGCGGAAGAGAUAAGUGCUGAAAGCAUCUAAGCACGAAACUUGCCCCGAGAUGAGUUCUCCCUGAGACUUAGAGUCUCCUGAAGGAACGUUGAAGACGACGACGUUGAUAGGCCGGGUGUGUAAGCGCAGCGAUGCGUUGAGCUAACCGGUACUAAUGAACCGUGAGGCUUAACCUUACAACGCCGAAGCUGUU